GUCCACGCCGUAAACGAUGGGUGCUAGGUGUGGGGGUGUCGACUCCCUCCGUGCCGAAGCUAACGCAUUAAGCACCCCGCCUGGGGAGUACGGCCGCAAGGCUAAAACUCAAAGGAAUUGACGGGGCCCGCACAAGCAGCGGAGCAUGUGGUUUAAUUCGACGCGACGCGAAGAACCUUACCAAGGCUUGACAUGCACGGGAAUGUCGGAGAAAUUCGGCAGCCCUUCGGGGCUCGUGCACAGGUGGUGCAUGGCUGUCGU
This 261-nucleotide ribosomal RNA is filed under the name uncultured bacterium. RNAcentral's name for it is "partial 16S ribosomal RNA". It matches the Rfam family "Bacterial small subunit ribosomal RNA", at positions 793 to 1055 of the family's 1533-position model. The record is from RNAcentral.